AGUGGAGCUAGGCACUGCAGGACCUUGAUUAACCUCCACAUCACCAGAGGAACAGAGGAGAAGUAGGAUAAGGGUACGGCUAAAGGCUAUACGAACUGGCCGUCUAGCACGUUCAGAACAGAGAGUAAAAGGAGCAGGUAUCUGGGCACGAUAACAUAGAUUCAAGGCAUAGUGUACAGAGAAAGGACCUGAGCCCUAGGACCAUGCCUCAGGACUACCUGGCCUGAUGACUCCUUGCUGUCCCCAGUCCACCUGGCUGUACUGCUGCUCCAGUUUCAACUGUUCUGCCAGCGGCUAUUGAACCCUGACCUGUUCACCGGACGUGUGACCUGUCCCAGACCUGCUGUUUUCAACUCUCUAGAGACAGCAGGAGCAGUAGAGAUACUAUGAAUGAUCGGCUAUGAAAAGCCAACUGACAUUUACUCCUGAGGUGCUGACCUGUUGCACCCUCGACAACCACAGUGAUUAUUAUUAUUUGACCCUGCUGGUUAUCUAUGAACAUUUGAACAUCUUGGCCAUGUUUUCUUAUAAUCUCCACCCGGCAUAGCCAGAAGAGGAGUAGCCACCCCUCAUAGCCUGGUUCCUCUGUAGGUUUCUUCCUAAGUUCUGGCCUUUCUAGGGAAUUUUUCCUAGCCACCGUGCUUCUACACCUGCAUUGCUUGCUGUUUGGGGUUUUAGACAGGGUUUCUGUACAGCACUUUGAGAUAUCAGCUGAUGUAAGAACGGCUUUAUAAAUAUAUUUGAUAUAAACAUUGAGUUGUUAUUUUACCUGAAAUGCACAAGGUCCUCCACUCCGCCAAUUAAUCCAAGCAUAAAACGGUCAACCAGGCUUUUUCUUCUCUUGAGUUUAUAUUGCAAUUGGCAACUUUCAUACAUUACGUGCAUUACCGCCACUGACCUUGUUCGUCAUUCAGUCACCCAUGUGGGUAUAACCAAUGAGGAGAUGGCACGUGGGUACCUGCUUCUAUAAACUAAUGAGGAGAUGGGAGAGGCAGGACUUGCAGCGCGAUCUGCGUCAGAAAUAG
RNAcentral lists this long non-coding RNA (1025 nucleotides) under Salmo salar (Atlantic salmon). Its description in RNAcentral is "lncRNA (ENSSSAG00000099395.1, ENSSSAG00020015968.1)". Lineage: Eukaryota; Metazoa; Chordata; Actinopteri; Salmoniformes; Salmonidae. The record is from RNAcentral.